RNAcentral lists this ribosomal RNA (1361 nucleotides) under uncultured organism. Its description in RNAcentral is "bacterial SSU rRNA". It matches the Rfam family "Bacterial small subunit ribosomal RNA", at positions 23 to 1378 of the family's 1533-position model. The record is from RNAcentral.
CUCAGAACGAACGCUGGCGGCGCGUUUUAAGCAUGCAAGUCGAACGGUAACCAUCCUUCGGGAUGGCUAGAGUGGCGAACGGGUGAGUAACACGUAGGUGAUCUGCCCUUGAGUUGGGGAUAGCCCAUGGAAACAUGGGGUAACACCGAAUACGCUCGCGACCCUGUGGGGAUGUGAGGAAAAGCGCUUCGGCGCUGCUCGAGGAUGAGCCUGCGGCUGAUUAGUUAGUUGGUGGGGUAACGGCCUACCAAGGCGACGAUCAGUAGCCGGCCUGAGAGGGUGAGCGGCCACACUGGGACUGAGAUACGGCCCAGACUCCUACGGGAGGCAGCAGCUAAGAAUCUUCUACAAUGGACGAAAGUCUGAUAGAGCGACGCCGCGUGGGUGAUGAAGGCCGGAAGGUUGUAAAGCCCUUUUCUAUUCGAGGAAUAAGGUGUGGAGGCAAUGCCACACUGAUGACGGUAGGGUAGGAAUAAGCCCCGGCCAAUUACGUGCCAGCAGCCGCGGUAACACGUAUGGGGCGAGCGUUGUUCGGAAUCAUUGGGCGUAAAGGGCGCGUAGGCGGAUAUGCAAGCUUGGUGUGAAAGACCGCAGCUCAACUGCGGGAGCGCGCUGAGAACUGCAUAUCUUGAGUUCAAGAGGGGAAGCUGGAAUUCCAGGUGUAGGGGUGAAAUCUGUAGAUAUCUGGAAGAACAUCAGUGGCGAAGGCGAGCUUCUGGCUUUGAACUGACGCUGAGGCGCGAAAGCGUGGGGAGCGAACAGGAUUAGAUACCCUGGUAGUCCACGCUGUAAACGAUGUGCACUAGGUGUUGGGCCGUUGAAGGCUCAGUGCCGUAGCUAACGCGUUAAGUGCACCGCCUGGGGAGUAUGCUCGCAAGAGUGAAACUCAAAGGAAUUGACGGAGGCCCGCACAAGCGGAGGAACAUGUGGUUUAAUUCGAUGAUACGCGAGGAACCUUACCUGGGCUUAAAUGCAAAACGACGUCCCGAGAAAUCGGGAUUUCUUCGGACGGCUUGCAAGGUGCUGCAUGGCUGUCGUCAGCUCGUGCCGUGAGGUGUCGGGUUAAGUCCCAUAACGAGCGCAACCCUCAUCAUUAGUUGCCAGCGGGUAAUGCCGGGGACUCUAAUGAAACUGCCGGUGUAAACCGAGAGGAAGGUGGGGAUGACGUCAAGUCAGCACGGCCCUUAUGUCCAGGGCUACACACGUGUUACAAUGGUCGGUACAAAGGGCAGCUACCAGGCGACUGGAUGCUAAUCUCUAAAGCCGAUCUCAGUUCGGAUCGAAGUCUGCAACUCGACUUCGUGAAGGUGGAUUCGCUAGUAAUCGCGCAUCAGCCAUGGCGCGGUGAAUACGUUCCCGGG